CCUCAAAAGUAACUCCACAAAGCAGCAGGAGAUAGGGAGAAAACUGAAGAAGGAGGAAGCAUGGAAAGAAGCAGACUGUUGUUGCCCUGCACCUCAUGUGCCGUUUACACCACUGCAAAGUGAAAGACUUUUCAGGCACAGUUGCCCAUUUUAUGUGCAGAAAUGCCAAGUUUGACACAUUAACCCACAAAUUUUGUACACGCAGUUAAAAAGCCCCACUGAAAAUGUGGCCGAUCACAUAUAGCAGCUUCAGUGGUAGGGGGAAGCCCAUCCACUGAAAGAAGAAAGAACAGUCUAUUCACACACACAUCGCCCCUAAGCAGCUCCAAGGCCCAAGAGGAAGGGGGCCAAUAUUUUCUCCCUCCAGACAAAGGGGCUGGAAGUGCGGCUGCCAACAUUUCCUGCGCUUUUCUCCACACCUAUGCAGGCCACAAAGUUACUUAAAAAAAUGAAAGCUAUGAUUUUCACAUACCAUGGCUCCAGGAGCUGCAAUAUUAAAGAAAACCACCAAAUUUUGAGAGACUUGAGAGCUGGCCAUGCUGGGGGAGCUCAGAAGAGAGGAAGUGACUGAGCAGCUGAAAGGGAGAAUUUCCAGAUGGGACUGCACAGCUUUACACCUUGGACAUGACCACACACCCCAGCAUUAGGAACAUAGGCUUGGGAUCAGCAAAUGGGACAAGCACAGGGAGAGAACAUCACCCACCCCUAGUCCCUAAAGGGAAUCUGCGCAAAAGAUAUUAUGACUCCAGGCUGUAUUAGCUUCUUCACAGAGACGCUCCAUGCUGUGGAACCCUCCUCUUCACACACACACACAGAAGAAUGCUGGGAACCACAGCCGCUUCCACGGUUCCAAAGUCCUGCUUGAAUUUCCAGGCUAGUGCAUCCAUGCUAUGACACAUCACGUCGAAGGAGAUCAGUCACAGGGGUAGCUAAUGUGACUGCUAUCACGGUUUAGCGUGGUGACCCUUAAGUGCAGAAAUUCAACAAGGCAUUUUCCCCCAGAGCGUGAAAACCACAAAAGCAAAGGAUGAAAACAAAAACGGCCACCUUCUAGUGUUCAAAUAUAAGUAUGAAAACAAUGUUCUUAUUUCAAAGACAGUGUUAGGCCUUGUCUACGCUACACAGUUUUGUUGACAAAUGUCAGCUUUUGUUGGCAAAACAGCGGAGGUGUACACACUGAAAUGCUCCUCCCGCCUAUAUAACUCCCCUCCUGUGCUGACAUCAUAAAACCAUCUCAAUGAGAGGCAUAGGGCUUAUGGCCGUGUAGUCAGGGUGAUGCAGUGUCUCUGUAAACACUGUGUUCCUUGCAGUGGCUGUUAGCUGUCAUCCUUGUCAAGAAAGCCGACUCAUGGGCUGCUGCCUGGGCUCCGCUCCAAGCCGGGCAGCCACCCAGGCUCCUGGCUUGGACUGGUGCCCAGGUUCACCAUUGUCCGGAGUGAGCCCUGCACUCCCACAGCAUCCCAGCUCCCCCUCAGGAGCACAGCAGUUGACUGGACUCCAGGUGCAGAUCUCCCCCUCGGAGACAAGCCCCCCCUGCUCCCAGCUGGGAGGUUGAAGGCAAGAAAAGCCCCAAGGGGCAGCUGGGCUCCAGGUAGAGAGCUGAAUGGAGCUAAGAGCCCUGGCUCUCAGUCCACCACCCUGCCCCUCUUCAGUCGGGCAGCACUCCUAGUAAGGAGACACACCACCGACAGGAGGGCAAAGUGGACAUCAGCCAAUGCAGUAAUUAAUGUGGCUGUAAGGCAACCUAACAUAGAUCGACUUAUCUUUGUAGUGUAGACAGAGCCUUAAAUGUCUGUUGCACCCCUCUUGAA
This is a long non-coding RNA of Mauremys mutica (yellowpond turtle), 1811 nucleotides long. RefSeq lists it as uncharacterized. NCBI's taxonomy places the organism in Eukaryota, Metazoa, Chordata, Testudines, Geoemydidae. The transcript is spliced from 4 exons. The record is from RefSeq and is a predicted model, not a curated record.